GCAUCUAUACUGUGAAACUGCGAAUGGCUCAUUAAAUCAGUUAUCGUUUAUUUGAUAGUACCUUACUACAUGGAUACCUGUGGUAAUUCUAGAGCUAAUACAUGCUAAAAACCCCGACUUCAGGAAGGGGUGUAUUUAUUAGAUAAAAAACCAACGCCCUUCGGGGCUCCUUGGUGAAUCAUAAUAACUUAACGAAUCGCAUGGCCUUGCGCCGGCGAUGGUUCAUUCAAAUUUCUGCCCUAUCAACUUUCGAUGGUAGGAUAGUGGCCUACCAUGGUGGCAACGGGUAACGGGGAAUUAGGGUUCGAUUCCGGAGAGGGAGCCUGAGAAACGGCUACCACAUCCAAGGAAGGCAGCAGGCGCGCAAAUUACCCAAUCCCGAUACGGGGAGGUAGUGACAAUAAAUACUGAUACGGGGCUCUUUUGGGUCUCGUAAUUGGAAUGAGAACAAUUUAAAUCCCUUAACGAGGAACAAUUGGAGGGCAAGUCUGGUGCCAGCAGCCGCGGUAAUUCCAGCUCCAAUAGCGUAUAUUAAAGUUGUUGCAGUUAAAAAGCUCGUAGUUGAACCUUGGCCCUGGCUGGCCGGUCCGCCUCACCGCGAGUACUGGUCCGGCUGGGGCUUUCCUUCUGGGGAACCUCAUGGCCUUCACUGGCUGUGGGGGGAACCAGGACUUUUACUGUGAAAAAAUUAGAGUGUUCAAAGCAGGCCUUUGCUCGAAUACAUUAGCAUGGAAUAAUAGAAUAGGACGUGCGGUUCUAUUUUGUUGGUUUCUAGGACCGCCGUAAUGAUUAAUAGGGAUAGUCGGGGGCGUCAGUAUUCAGCUGUCAGAGGUGAAAUUCUUGGAUUUGCUGAAGACUAACUACUGCGAAAGCAUUCGCCAAGGAUGUUUUCAUUAAUCAGGGAACGAAAGUUAGGGGAUCGAAGACGAUCAGAUACCGUCGUAGUCUUAACCAUAAACUAUGCCGACUAGGGAUCGGACGGGAUUCUAUGAUGACCCGUUCGGCACCUUACGAGAAAUCAAAG
Molecule: ribosomal RNA, 1024 nt
Filed under: Penicillium macrosclerotiorum
Lineage: Eukaryota; Fungi; Ascomycota; Eurotiomycetes; Eurotiales; Aspergillaceae
Description: SSU rRNA
Rfam family: Eukaryotic small subunit ribosomal RNA
Source: RNAcentral